This 299-nucleotide ribosomal RNA is filed under the name Oenococcus oeni. Its description in RNAcentral is "partial 16S ribosomal RNA". It matches the Rfam family "Bacterial small subunit ribosomal RNA", at positions 870 to 1169 of the family's 1533-position model. Lineage: Bacteria; Bacillati; Bacillota; Bacilli; Lactobacillales; Lactobacillaceae. The record is from RNAcentral.
CGCCUGAGGAGUACGGCCGCAAGGCUAAAACUUAAAGGAAUUGACGGGGACCCGCACAAGCGGUGGAGCAUGUGGUUUAAUUCGAAGAUACGCGAAAAACCUUACCAGGUCUUGACAUACCAAUGAUCGCUUUUGUAAUGAAAGCUUUUCUUCGGAACAUUGGAUACAGGUGGUGCAUGGUCGUCGUCAGCUCGUGUCGUGAGAUGUUGGGUUAAGUCCCGCAACGAGCGCAACCCUUGUUAUUAGUUGCCAGCAUUUAGUUGGGCACUCUAAUGAGACUGCCGGUGAUAAACCGGAGG